Non-coding RNA from Maylandia zebra (zebra mbuna), 367 nucleotides. Lineage: Eukaryota; Metazoa; Chordata; Actinopteri; Cichliformes; Cichlidae. The record is from RefSeq and is a predicted model, not a curated record.
AGUGGAUACACUUGUCUCCCCUUUAAAGGAGACACUCUUAGAGAGAGACGAUUAGAGUCAUCCUUAAAUAUGGGCAGCAUAUCAGUCUUGGACUGUCUAACCUGCCGGAGCAGCACUGAAUGAUCACCACACAUGAGCAUGUUCCUGCAACAUUCAGCAUCUGAUCCUUCAUCUGUGUGCUUCUGCUUUUGUGUCACAUGUCAAACAGCUGGAGAGGAAACUACACCAGUGUACUGGGAUGUUUCACCAACACGUGCCAGAUGCUGUUCCUUCAUGGUGACAUCACCAGAGACAGCCCCGCCCACCUCAGGACCUCGCCAUUGACCAUGAUGAUUAUAAUGAUGACAGCGAGCGGAACUAAGACUGU